Molecule: small RNA, 107 nt
Filed under: Marmota monax (woodchuck)
Lineage: Eukaryota; Metazoa; Chordata; Mammalia; Rodentia; Sciuridae
Source: RNAcentral
ACUGGAUGUGGUGGCCCACAUCUGUAAUUUCAGCUACUUGGGAGGAUGAGGCAGGAUAAUUGUAAGUUCAAGGCUAAUCUGGGCAACAUAGUGAGAUCCUGUCUUAA